CCUACGGGUGGCUGCAGUGGGGAAUAUUGGACAAUGGGCGAAAGCCUGAUCCAGCCAUGCCGCGUGUGUGAAGAAGGCCUUCGGGUUGUAAAGCACUUUCAGUGGGGAAGAAAGCCUUGGGGCUAAUACCCUCGAGGAAGGACAUCACCCACAGAAGAAGCACCGGCUAACUCCGUGCCAGCAGCCGCGGUAAUACGGAGGGUGCGAGCGUUAAUCGGAAUUACUGGGCGUAAAGCGCGCGUAGGCGGUCUGAUAAGCCGGUUGUGAAAGCCCCGGGCUCAACCUGGGAACGGCAUCCGGAACUGUCAGGCUAGAGUGCAGGAGAGGAAGGUAGAAUUCCCGGUGUAGCGGUGAAACGCGUAGAGAUCGGGAGGAAUACCAGUGGCGAAGGCGGCCUUCUGGACUGACACUGACGCUGAGGUGCGAAAGCGUGGGUAGCAAACAGGAUUAGAUACCCCAGUAGUC
Molecule: ribosomal RNA, 465 nt
Filed under: Vreelandella stevensii
Lineage: Bacteria; Pseudomonadati; Pseudomonadota; Gammaproteobacteria; Oceanospirillales; Halomonadaceae
Description: partial 16S ribosomal RNA
Rfam family: Bacterial small subunit ribosomal RNA
Source: RNAcentral